This 253-nucleotide ribosomal RNA is filed under the name uncultured bacterium. Its description in RNAcentral is "partial 16S ribosomal RNA". It matches the Rfam family "Bacterial small subunit ribosomal RNA", at positions 524 to 776 of the family's 1533-position model. The record is from RNAcentral.
UACGUAGGGUGCGAGCGUUGCCCGGAUUUAUUGGGCGUAAAGGGCGCGUAGGCGGCUCUGCACGUCCGUUGUGAAAUCGCCCGGCUCAACUGGGCGGGGUCAGCGGAUACGGCAGAGCUCGAGCAAGCUAGGGGGCAAUGGAAUUCCCGGUGUAGCGGUGAAAUGCGCAGAUAUCGGGAGGAACACCGGUGGCGAAGGCGGUUCUCUGGGCCUUACCUGACGCUGAGGAGCGAAAGCGUGGGGAGCGAACAGG